This 1534-nucleotide ribosomal RNA is filed under the name uncultured bacterium. RNAcentral's name for it is "partial 16S ribosomal RNA". It matches the Rfam family "Bacterial small subunit ribosomal RNA". The record is from RNAcentral.
AGGGUUUGAUCCUGGCUCAGAAUGAACGCUGGCGGCGUGCCUAACACAUGCAAGUCGCGCGAGAAAGCCCCUUCGGGGGUAAGUAAAGCGGCGGACGGGUGAGUAACGCGUGGACAACCUACCCCGGGGUUGGGGAUAACCCUGCGAAAGCGGGGCUAAUACCGAAUACGCUGUUCUUUUCCUGGGUGAUUUGUUUCACCGAGGAAGGGAAUGGGAAAGGUGGCCUCUGUAUCAAGCUACCGCCCCGGGAUGGGUUCGCGUCCCAUUAGCUUGUUGGUGGGGUCAAGGCCUACCAAGGCGACGAUGGGUAGCCGGCCUGAGAGGGUGAUCGGCCACACUGGGACUGGAACACGGCCCAGACUCCUACGGGAGGCAGUAGUGGGGAAUCUUGGGCAAUGGGCGCAAGCCUGACCCAGCGACGCCGCGUGUGGGACGAAGGCCUUCGGGUCGUAAACCACUGUCAGGAGGGAAGAAAAGCAGUUUCCGAACAGGGAGCUGUGUUGACGGUACCUCCAGAGGAAGCACCGGCCAACUCCGUGCCAGCAGCCGCGGUAAUACGGAGGGUGCAAGCGUUAUUCGGAAUCACUGGGCGUAAAGGGCGCGCAGGCGGUCUUGCCAGUCAGAUGUGAAAGCCCGGGGCUCAACCCCGGAGGUGCAUUUGAAACAGCAAGACUUGAGUACAGGAGAGGAAAGCGGAAUUCCUGGUGUAGAGGUGAAAUUCGUAGAUAUCAGGAGGAACACUUAUGGCGAAGGCAGCCUUCUACGCAGUUACUGACACUCAGGAGCGAAGGUGUGGGGAGCAAACAGGAUUAGAUAUCCUGGUAGUCCACACAGUCAACGAUGAUCACUAGGUUUUGGUGGGAUUAAAAUCAUCAGAGCUACAGCAAAUGCAUUAAGUGAUCCGCCUGGGGAGUACGUCCGCAAGGAUGAAACUCAAAGGAAUUGACGGGGACCCGCACAAGCGGUGGAGCAUGUUCUUUAAUUCGAUGCAACACGAAGAACCUUACCUGGGAUUGACAUCCGUGGAACCGCUAUGAAAGUAGCGAGUGCUCACUUUGUGAGAACCACGUGACAGGUGCUGCAUGGCUGUCGUCAGUUCGUGUCGUAAGAUGUUGGGUUAAGUCCCGUAACGAACGCAACCCCUGUCUUUAGUUGCCAGCAUUAAGUUGGGGACUCUAGAGAGACUGCCAAGGUGACAACUUGGAGGAAGGUGGGGAUGACGUCAAGUCCAUAUGGCCCUUACAUCCAGGGCGAGAAACGUGCUACAAUGGUUGGUACAAUGGGGAGCAACAUCGCAAGAUCGAGCAAAUCCUCAAAACCAAUCUCAGUUCGGAUUGGAGUCUGCAACCCGACUCCAUGAAGUUGGAAUCGCUAGUAAUCGCGGAUCAGCCAUGGUGCGGUGAAUACGUUCCCGGGCCUUGUACACACCGCCCGUCAAGCCAUGGAAGCUGGGGGUACCUGAAGUCCGUAACCGUUAAGGAGCGGCCUAGGGUAAAACCGGUGACUGGGGCUAAGUCGUAACAAGGUAGCCGAA